This 253-nucleotide ribosomal RNA is filed under the name uncultured bacterium. Its description in RNAcentral is "partial 16S ribosomal RNA". It matches the Rfam family "Bacterial small subunit ribosomal RNA", at positions 524 to 776 of the family's 1533-position model. The record is from RNAcentral.
UACAGAGGGUGCGAGCGUUAUUCGGAAUUACUGGGCGUAAAGCGUGCGUAGACGGUCAAGUAAGUCGGGUGUGAAAGCCCCGGGCUCAACCUGGGAAUUGCAUUCGAGACUGCGUGGCUAGGGUGCGGAAGAGGGAAGCGGAAUUUCCGGUGUAGCGGUGAAAUGCGUAGAUAUCGGGAGGAACACCAGUGGCGAAGGCGGCUUCCUGGCCUGUUCUUGACGCUGAGGCGCGAAAGCUAGGGGAGCAAACGGG